ACUUUCGUGGUGUGACGGUAGCACACUCGGAUAGUAACCAAGAGGUCCAGGUUCGAAUCCCGGCGAAGGUA
This is a non-coding RNA of Stegodyphus mimosarum, 71 nucleotides long. The record is from Rfam. Lineage: Eukaryota; Metazoa; Arthropoda; Arachnida; Araneae; Eresidae.